UGGGUUGUGGCUCAGUGGUAGAGCACUUGCCUAGCAUGUGUGAGGCCCUGGGUUUGAUUCUCAGCAUCACAU
Molecule: transfer RNA, 72 nt
Filed under: Ictidomys tridecemlineatus (thirteen-lined ground squirrel)
Lineage: Eukaryota; Metazoa; Chordata; Mammalia; Rodentia; Sciuridae
Description: Spermophilus tridecemlineatus (thirteen-lined ground squirrel) tRNA
Rfam family: tRNA
About the family: Transfer RNA (tRNA) molecules are approximately 80 nucleotides in length. Their secondary structure includes four short double-helical elements and three loops (D, anti-codon, and T loops).
Source: Rfam by way of RNAcentral